GAGUUUGAUCCUGGCUCAGGAUGAACGCUGGCGGCGUGCUUAACACAUGCAAGUCGAACGGGCUCAUAUUGAAACCUAGUGAUGUAUGAGUUAGUGGCGGACGGGUGAGUAACGCGUGGAGAACCUGCCGUAUACUGGGGGAUAACACUUAGAAAUAGGUGCUAAUACCGCAUAAGCGCACAGCUUCGCAUGAAGCAGUGUGAAAAACUCCGGUGGUAUACGAUGGAUCCGCGUCUGAUUAGCUGGUUGGCGGGGUAACAGCCCACCAAGGCGACGAUCAGUAGCCGGCCUGAGAGGGUGAACGGCCACAUUGGGACUGAGACACGGCCCAAACUCCUACGGGAGGCAGCAGUGGGGAAUAUUGCACAAUGGGGGAAACCCUGAUGCAGCGACGCCGCGUGAGUGAAGAAGUAUUUCGGUAUGUAAAGCUCUAUCAGCAGGGAAGAAAUACUGACCUUACGGUCAGCAGACGGUACCUGACUAAGAAGCCCCGGCUAACUACGUGCCAGCAGCCGCGGUAAUACGUAGGGGGCAAGCGUUAUCCGGAUUUACUGGGUGUAAAGGGAGCGUAGACGGCAGCGCAAGUCUGAAGUGAAAUCCCAUGGCUUAACCAUGGAACUGCUUUGGAAACUGUGCAGCUGGAGUGCAGGAGAGGUAAGCGGAAUUCCUAGUGUAGCGGUGAAAUGCGUAGAUAUUAGGAGGGACACCAGUGGCGAAGGCGGCUUGCUGGACUGUAACUG
RNAcentral lists this ribosomal RNA (740 nucleotides) under uncultured bacterium. Its description in RNAcentral is "bacterial SSU rRNA". It matches the Rfam family "Bacterial small subunit ribosomal RNA", at positions 9 to 742 of the family's 1533-position model. The record is from RNAcentral.